RNAcentral lists this unclassified non-coding RNA (1410 nucleotides) under Leishmania donovani. Its description in RNAcentral is "gene:unknown". The record is from RNAcentral. Lineage: Eukaryota; Euglenozoa; Kinetoplastea; Trypanosomatida; Trypanosomatidae.
ACUCACUGCUGCACCCGCUGGUGUCUUUCAAUGCAGCAGCCGCUCGCUCGUUGUUUCUUGCUCUUCGCCAGCUGUCUUGCUGCUCUUCAUCUCUUGCGCGUUUCUUUCCACCGUCGACGGUGCUGCGCACUGCCAUGAUGACGUCGCCUCCCAGCGCACGGCCAUGCAACUUCGAAGACAUUGACAUCUGUCUCUUCAAGCUACUCUACAGCCCACCGCUGUCCCUCGCGGCCCUCGUGCGCGCCGGACUGUUCACCGAAGACGACGACUUGCGCAGCAGCAAGCGGUCGGUCACCAUGCCCCUGCUCCUUGUCGCCUCUCCCCCGGCCUCAGGCGCUGCAGGCGGUGCCGCGCUGGUGUCGCCGGCCGCCGUGAUAUCUGCCUUAGCUCGUUGCAACGGUGCCUCUUGGAACAAGGAGAACGAUGGUGCGAGAGUUGCGCAACCACAGCGGCCACCAGCCCGCCCCCUGUCCGCGAACGCCUCCCCCGCACUCGUGACGCCGUCACCUGCGCCAGCGGCUUUCCCAAACGUUGCAGCCUCCCCGAUCACGACGGCUGCAACGACCGCUGUUCCAUGCAUGUCCUCCGAGGCACUGCGGCGGCGCCGGUGCCGGAUUUGCCACCGCCUCCUCGUCGUCGCACUCUGUCGCCCCAGCUGACCCGGAGCUCGAUAAGUGGGCCUGCAGCCUGUAUUCGCUCUUGGGUUGUUAUCGUCAGCAUGAGCGGCACUGCCCGCAUCCAUCUCUCGAUGGCUACCGACGCCACCACCAUCUCCGCCACCACCGCUGCGAGACCGACAGCGUCAUCGAAGAGUCUUCGUCAUCUCCACGAACAUCAUCGGCCGCCUCCUCAUAGGACCGUCGUGGCUGGCCAAACCACCGUGUGCUGGCGUGUGGCAAGGACUCUGUCGAGCUACACUUCGUACAGCAGCUGCACAGCGGCCGGCCUCUACCACGACAUGCUCCUCAUGCGCAGACAGCGCAGCCGCAGCAACAAGAAGGCCGGGAGGUGUGGAGCAUGAGUGGCAGGGGCGAGGCAACCAAGCGCACACCGCUGACUGUGGAACAGAAGGCGGCGCCACACUCCGGUUAAUUCUCCCAGACUCUAGCUACGAGCCGAGCCUCACAGGCGGGCAUUGUGCGCACCGGCCCGCCGAUGUCCCUGCGAAAACCACCUCGCUUGAUUGCAGGAGCGAACUUCCAAGUGAGACCAAAGAGACCGCCCAGGUGGCGGCCAUGACGGCGACGGCGACCGCAGGCCGCGCAGCAGCAGAAUGUUUUGAGCAUCCUGCUGCCGCUGCCCCACACGCCGCCACCACUGCAGCAAGAACAGCUACCCUGUAACACCCGUCACGACGCGGCUCGCGCGUUGCAGUGCAACCGUCCUCGCUGCCUCUCCCUCUCGGUGCCG